CGAAGGUUGGCUAAUCCUGGUCGGACAUCAGGAGGUUAGUGCAAUGGCAUAAGCCAGCUUGACUGCGAGCGUGACGGCGCGAGCAGGUGCGAAAGCAGGUCAUAGUGAUCCGGUGGUUCUGAAUGGAAGGGCCAUCGCUCAACGGAUAAAAGGUACUCCGGGGAUAACAGGCUGAUACCGCCCAAGAGUUCAUAUCGACGGCGGUGUUUGGCACCUCGAUGUCGGCUCAUCACAUCCUGGGGCUGAAGUAGGUCCCAAGGGUAUGGCUGUUCGCCAUUUAAAGUGGUACGCGAGCUGGGUUUAGAACGUCGUGAGACAGUUCGGUCCCUAUCUGCCGUGGGCGCUGGAGAACUGAGGGGGGCUGCUCCUAGUACGAGAGGACCGGAGUGGACGCAUCACUGGUGUUCGGGUUGUCAUGCCAAUGGCACUGCCCGGUAGCUAAAUGCGGAAGAGAUAAGUGCUGAAAGCAUCUAAGCACGAAACUUGCC
This 488-nucleotide ribosomal RNA is filed under the name Escherichia coli. RNAcentral describes it as "partial 23S ribosomal RNA". It matches the Rfam family "Bacterial large subunit ribosomal RNA", at positions 2311 to 2798 of the family's 2925-position model. Lineage: Bacteria; Pseudomonadati; Pseudomonadota; Gammaproteobacteria; Enterobacterales; Enterobacteriaceae. The record is from RNAcentral.